UUUUAAGUUUUGCUGCUGUUAACUUUUUUUAAUGGUUAAAUAAAUUUAUGGAUAAACACUAGAGCCUACAAAAAUUAUAAGGAGAAUAGAUACACUAGAAGUGUCAAGUCAAAAAAAUACUAAAAAAAACAAAAACAACAAACAACAACAAAGAAGAAAAAAAUACAUCACAAAAAACCACAACAACCCUACAGCAGAACGUCACCCCAAUAUGACCAAGCUAGAUCUCAGAUCUCUAGACCACCGAAAGCGAAAAU
This 257-nucleotide long non-coding RNA is filed under the name Lathyrus oleraceus (garden pea). RNAcentral's name for it is "Pisum sativum (pea) long non-coding RNA (PSAT_LNC019142)". The record is from RNAcentral. Lineage: Eukaryota; Viridiplantae; Streptophyta; Magnoliopsida; Fabales; Fabaceae.